RNAcentral lists this ribosomal RNA (631 nucleotides) under uncultured bacterium. RNAcentral describes it as "bacterial SSU rRNA". It matches the Rfam family "Bacterial small subunit ribosomal RNA", at positions 215 to 842 of the family's 1533-position model. The record is from RNAcentral.
CCGGUGGCGGAUGGGCAUGCGGCGCAUUAGCUAGUCGGCGGGGUAACGGCCCACCGAGGCGACGAUGCGUAGGGGUUCUGAGAGGAAGGUCCCCCACACUGGUACUGAGACACGGACCAGACUCCUACGGGAGGCAGCAGUGAGGAAUAUUGGUCAAUGGGCGCGAGCCUGAACCAGCCAAGUCGCGUGAGGGAUGACGGUCCUAUGGAUUGUAAACCUCUUUUGCCGGGGAGCAAGCGUGCGUUCGUGAACGCGCGUCGAGAGUACCCGGAGAAAAAGCAUCGGCUAACUCCGUGCCAGCAGCCGCGGUAAUACGGAGGAUGCGAGCGUUAUCCGGAUUUAUUGGGUUUAAAGGGUGCGUAGGCGGGAUGCCAAGUCAGCGGUAAAAAUGCGGUGCUCAACGCCGUCGAGCCGUUGAAACUGGCGUUCUUGAGUGGGCGAGAAGUAUGCGGAAUGCGUGGUGUAGCGGUGAAAUGCAUAGAUAUCACGCAGAACUCCGAUUGCGAAGGCAGCAUACCGGCGCCCUACUGACGCUGAGGCACGAAAGCGUGGGUAUCGAACAGGAUUAGAUACCCUGGUAGUCCACGCAGUAAACGAUGAAUGCUAACUGUCCGGCUCGAAUGAGCGCUGG